This 699-nucleotide ribosomal RNA is filed under the name uncultured bacterium. Its description in RNAcentral is "bacterial SSU rRNA". It matches the Rfam family "Bacterial small subunit ribosomal RNA", at positions 57 to 748 of the family's 1533-position model. The record is from RNAcentral.
GCAGUCGACGGUACAGGAAGAAGCUUGCUUCUUUGCUGACGAGUGGCGGACGGGUGAGUAAUGUCUGGGAAACUGCCUGAUGGAGGGGGAUAACUACUGGAAACGGUAGCUAAUUCCGCAUAACGUCGCAAGACCAAAGAGGGGGACCUUCGGGCCUCUUGCCAUCGGAUGUGCCCAGGUGGGAUUAGCUAGUUGGUGAGGUAACGGCUCACCUAGGCGACGAUCCCUAGCUGGUCUGAGAGGAUGACCAGCCACACUGGAACUGAGACACGGUCCAGACUCCUACGGGAGGCAGCAGUGGGGAAUAUUGCACAAUGGGCGCAAGCCUGAUGCAGCCAUGCCGCGUGUAUGAAGAAGGCCUUCGGGUUGUAAAGANCUUUCAGCGGGGAGGAAGGGAGUAAAGUUAAUACCUUUGCUCAUUGACGUUACCCGCAGAAGAAGCACCGGCUAACUCCGUGCCAGCAGCCGCGGUAAUACGGAGGGUGCAAGCGUUAAUCGGAAUUACUGGGCGUAAAGCGCACGCAGGCGGUUUGUUAAGUCAGAUGUGGAAUCCCCGGGCUCAACCUGGGAACUGCAUCUGAUACUGGCAAGCUUGAGUCUCGUAGAGGGGGGUAGAAUUCCAGGUGUAGCGGUGAAAUGCGUAGAGAUCUGGAGGAAUACCGGUGGCGAAGGCGGCCCCCUGGACGAAGACUGACGCUC